RNAcentral lists this ribosomal RNA (253 nucleotides) under uncultured bacterium. RNAcentral's name for it is "partial 16S ribosomal RNA". It matches the Rfam family "Bacterial small subunit ribosomal RNA", at positions 524 to 776 of the family's 1533-position model. The record is from RNAcentral.
UACGUAGGUGGCAAGCGUUGUCCGGAUUUAUUGGGUUUAAAGGGUGCGUAGGCGGCCCUGUAAGUCAGUGCUGAAAUAUCCCGGCUUAACCGGGAGGGUGGCAUUGAUACUGCGGGGCUAGAGUACAGAUGAGGUAGGCGGAAUUGACGGUGUAACGGUGAAAUGCUUAGAUAUCGUCAAGAACACCUAUAGCGAAGGCAGCUUACUAGGCUGUAACUGACGCUGAGGCACGAAAGUGUGGGGAUCAAACAGG